Molecule: long non-coding RNA, 2496 nt
Filed under: Numida meleagris (helmeted guineafowl)
Lineage: Eukaryota; Metazoa; Chordata; Aves; Galliformes; Numididae
Description: lncRNA (ENSNMEG00000004479.1)
Source: RNAcentral
CAAUGUUUACCCGGCUUAUCUCGCCGCUCUCAAGCCCCCGUUCCUGCAGGAGCGGUGUCACCCUGGCUUCCCAAGGCCGGCAGCACGCAGCGCUCCCCACGGCAUCGGCGUGCCCUACAUUUCAGCCUGGUGCUUUAAUGAGGGGUGGCUGCAUCACGCCCCGAUGGCCCUCCUGCCUCUCCCCGCAGCGCCCAGGACGAUUACGGCAAGCAUCCUUCCCCUCCUGUGCAAUUACAGCUCUCCAGCUCUCGAAAUCCUGCCUAAAUCCGCAUGGCCGCGGCGUGACUCACCUAACGACAGCUCCCCUAAUGAAUCCUGGGUGCAUUCCUUCCAGGCUGGACGUGAUGUUAACGUGCCACUUACUAACCAGCCACCCUUCUUCGCCGUCAGCGCAGCGAGUCGAGCCAGUUCGUUCCCCUGCCCCUCCUCUGCCGCAGCGGGACGGGCGGCUGCGACCUGUCAGUGUCAGCGUCCAGGGCAUCAUUCCCUUCUGCAGAGGGGUUUCUCACUGCUGCACUGGGGCCCAGCAAUCAGCACCUGCUCCGGGAAAGGAGAAUCGCCCAUGUGCUUGUACUGGAGCCAUCAGCAGGUGCUUCCAGAUCCCAAAAGCAGCGGUGGAGGAGAUGGUGAUGGAGACAGCGCAGCCUCUGCCCCUCGCAGCUCAUGGCUGCACUCUGGCAUCACAUAGCCCAGCACUGAGCACACCAGGAGCAGGACUGGGAUCCCAGUACAGCUUCUCCAGCGGUUUCCAGCUGUGUGGCACAUCUCCCUGCACGUGGCACUGUGCCGGGCUCCUGCAGCGUGCCCAGCCUCUGCAAAUCCCCAACACCGCUUGUCCUCAAACCCAAGCAGCCCAGAGCUCCACCAGACCACAGCUUGAGGAAGCCCAUUGUCAUGCCCCGUGCCUGCCCCGUGGGGCGGUCAGCAAUGCCCUAUGGGCGGCUGCCUGGCAGCGGGGAGCUGGAGCUGUCCUGGGGAUGUGGUGUGGGUGUGCAGGUGCACGUGCCCAGCGGAUGGGGCACGGGGAUGGAGCACUCCGCAGGCACGGGGUGCUGCCCUGUAUCGAUGCAGUGCCCUUUGCAGGAUGCUCUGAGGAGGAUGCUCGGGGGCUGCGGCAUGGGGAAGCAGUGAGGCAGGGUGGGGUGACAGGACAGGACAACAAGACAAAUGUUUUGCGUCUCACCCACGUGGAGCAGAGCCUGGACUCGGCCGGGGAGCACUCCAGCUCAAUGAGCAGGGUGUCCUGCCACGUUGUCCUGGGCCAUUUCCAGGGAGCACUUGGCUAUGGGACAGCACAGCACUGAGACCAUUGCUGCAGGUUUCUCCUCGCUGCAGGACAUGCACCGGGGUCUCCCCCCCUGCUCUCCCCUUGGUUCCUGCCCAGGUGUGCAGGUCCGCCUUGCAGAGCCUUCGGGAAGGAUGAAGGAGUCUGUUCUGCUGUGUGAAAGCUGGCUGAUGAUUUCCAGCUGCAGUAUUGAUCGGGAGGGUAUUUAGCAGCCUGGAGCAUUAAGGGAUGCCCUGAACUGUUCUGAAACAUCAGCCUAGAUGGCCGUGCUUUGUGGAGAAAUGGGAAGCCUGGGUGUGCCGCCGGGCACAGCCAAAGGGCCAGCAUGAAAUAUUGGAUGUUGGGAAGGGAUGCAGAGCUCAUGGCCCCUUUCCCUCCUGCCUCAUCCUGACAGCUCCAGCAGCUCUGUCUGCACAGAUGUGCCAUGAUGCCUCAUCCCCUAAGCACAGGGAUGACCCAUCCACCAGGCUGCCAGGCCAGGGGGUGCCACCAGCCCACCACGGUCCCAGGCCAGCAAGUUGGCAUGGGGACAGCGGGGGCACAGCUCCCUCCCAAACCAGCCUGGGCAGCUCCAGGAGUCCCCACGCCAUGUGUCACCCCUCGGGAAGACACUCUAAUUGUCCCCUCGCAGGAGACGGGCUGGAAAAAGGAAGUCACGAGGAGCCGGGCUCUUUGUGAUAUCCAUCUGCUCCUCUCCGGCAGACAUCGCUCCAGGAGGCUGCGGUGCCGGAGCCGCGUGCCGGUGCCAUGUGCCGGAGCCAUGUGCCGGAGCCACGUGCCAGCCAGCGUGCGCGGUUGCCCGUGCGCCAAACCUGCUGCAGUAUGGACAGGUGAGAUAAGGAGCCGUGCACCAGCGCCCUGUGCUCCAGCCCGUCCUGCUGCACCCAGCCGGGGGGUGAUCCGGCCUCUCCUGCAUCUUGGGACACUCCUGCACGUGGGCUGCAUCCCCGUGGGGUGUUCGUGCAGGUUCCGCUCCAUGCCCUGCGAUAGAGCUCAGAGCUCUGCAAGCCCCGAAACGCUGCUAACAAAGGGCACUGCCCUCAGCACCAGGAAAACCCCAAACCUGGAAAGCAGCAGCGAUAAGGGGCUGAUGGGGCGGGGAAGGAGCGGCCGCGGCAGCGCAGUGUUUGCUCUCGGCUCACCGGCCCCAGCUGGAGCAGAGUCUGAUGGCAGGUAAUAAAUCCACCUGGCCGUGCCCUGUUCUUCGAGUA